GUGUGUGUAUAUACGAUCGAUCAGGGACAGAGGGUGAGGUGAAACCCUAGUUUCACCAAAAUCCAUCAAAUUGAAGGGGGAUUGAAGGGCUAAACUAAUGCAUGAACCAAGAUUUUCGAUCACUUUAGCGUUUCUACCAUCAUAUGUUAAUGGCAAGAACGUGUCAAGGAGAGGUCAAGCAUAGGAGGAUAACGGGUCAAGAUAAGGCAAGGUGACAAAUACACUUAUUGGAGUACUCGAGGUAUGGGAUCGUUGGCUUCAUGAAGAAAUGGAGCUGGAUUUGGAUAAGAGUAUUUAAGAAAGCGCUUGGACAAUUCCACGACUACUUUAUAGAAUGCUCUACGAAAUUCUAUUAU
Molecule: long non-coding RNA, 356 nt
Filed under: Helianthus annuus (common sunflower)
Lineage: Eukaryota; Viridiplantae; Streptophyta; Magnoliopsida; Asterales; Asteraceae
Description: sRNA HanXRQr2_Chr15g0675351
Source: RNAcentral